UACGUAGGAUGCGAGCGUUGUUCGGAAUUAUUGGGCGUAAAGCGAACGUAGGCGGCUUUCUAAGUUUGGUCUUAAAGACCGGGGCUCAACCCCGGAAAUGGACUGGAUACUGGGAGGCUGGAGGAUGGCAGAGGAAGGUGGAAUUCCCAGUGUAGCGGUGAAAUGCGUAGAUAUUGGGAGGAACACCAGUGGCGAAAGCGACCUUCUGGGACAUUCCUGACGCUGAGGUUCGAAAGCUCGGGGAGCAAACAGG
This 253-nucleotide ribosomal RNA is filed under the name uncultured bacterium. RNAcentral's name for it is "partial 16S ribosomal RNA". It matches the Rfam family "Bacterial small subunit ribosomal RNA", at positions 524 to 776 of the family's 1533-position model. The record is from RNAcentral.